This 2198-nucleotide long non-coding RNA is filed under the name Nicotiana tabacum (common tobacco). RNAcentral describes it as "long non-coding RNA (NTAB_LNC012470)". Lineage: Eukaryota; Viridiplantae; Streptophyta; Magnoliopsida; Solanales; Solanaceae. The record is from RNAcentral.
AAAAAUCUAGUGCUAUUAUCAAUCUUUUAAUCUCAUUUUUUGCUCUAAAAAAUUGAACCUUUUUUUUUUGAGUAGUCCGUCCGGAGCACAAAAACCCAGUUCUCUGCCUCAUAAAUAUGUGCAAGUAGGCGUUUGCUCGUGUUGGAUGUAAGUGAUCACAUAUGUUGCUCGACCAAUAUAGCGUGGUCCUUACAUUCAAGGCGAGUAAACGACUAGUUGGCAGUGCAUUUGAUUCAACUAUUCACGUUGGCCUAGCUGUUUCAGAUAUGAGCAAAUACAUUUGCAUCACCUUUCAAUGUAAUGUGACGCAUAUACUCAGUUAUAUAAUGUUGGUUCAUCUUUAAUUCAGGUUUCUAAGUAGCUUUUGUUUGACCUUUCUGUCAAAAAAAAAAAAAUUGAAGUCUUGUUCUAGUAUUUGGGAAAAUAAUUGUGCAUAUUUGAAUUUGAAAUUGGUAAGGGAAAUGUACGCUGUAAACUAGUUUUAAAUAACUAACUACUAAUACAUGGUAUAACACCACUUUCAAAAAUAUAAAUCCCUACCAUUUUUCAUAAAAGCAUACCAAUUUAAGUUUUAACUACAUAAUUUAACACUUGUAAAAAACUUUGUAGUAUUUACACCAUCCAUGUAAUUAGUAAGUAAUAAAAUCAAAACGUAUUCAACAAAUUGUUGGCUACAAAAGUUCACAGCAUCUCCAUAAUGGUGGAAGCGAAGGAAAAUGUACAUGAAUAUGUGUGCUAGGCCUUAGUCCUUUUCUCACUCUAUGUGAUUCAUUCCAAAAUUUUGGAGUCUAAUCAAAUUAUUUACGAGCAUUUCUUUUUUCAAUUUAAUCAUUUGAGUUCAAUGGUUGUGGAAUGGAGACUUGGUAUAAUCUUUAAGAAUGACAAGUUGUGUGUAAUUAAUGUUAUGUUUAGGAGGCAAAGACAGGUAUUCAUAGUAUCAUUAGUAUCUAUUAGGAUACUAGUUAUUACUCCUAUUAUUUAUUAACAGACACAAUUUGAAUAGACUUAGGUUAUUAUUGGACUAAUUCCUGUGAACUUGUGGUCCGGCCCUUCCCUGGAUUCGCGCAUAGCGGGAGCUUAGUGCACCGGACUGUCCUUUUUCCUAUGAAAUUGUCAUAUAAGAAGAGCUUAUAAGCUCAUAAUCAUUAGAGUUACCUUGUUAGGUUUGCUUGUUAGAGUUGUCUUAAUGAUUAUAUCCUAUUAGAGUUUUAAGUUACACUUAACAGUGUAGAAAUUUUUCACACUAUCAUGUUAAAUUAACCUAAAAUAACAGAUAAAUCUUAAUAACAAACAUGACAUGGUAAACUGAACAAUAUAAUAAUAACCUGCCAUUGCAAUUACAUUGAAUUGAUAGUGUAAAAGUGUUAGAUGGCAGUAUAAGAAUCCUAGAGCUAAACAAAUUCAUGAAUGAGGGAAAAUCUGUUCAGCUAGCAAAGGCUGCAAGUAAAGGUGAAUGAAAAUAAAAAAAAAGGGCACCCCGGUGCACUAAGCUUCCACUACGUGUGGGAUCCGGGGAAGGGCCGCACCACACAGGUCUAUUAUACGCGGCCUUACCCUACAUUUCUGCAAGAGGCUGUUUACAUAGCUCGAACCCGUGACCUCCUGGUCAUAUGGCAGCAACUUUACCAGUUACCUGUUUUUCAGAACAAAAAGAAGAAGAGAGACCGAGUCAAAAACAUUGGAACAUUACAUGCAAAACUCUAUUUUGCUUGCACAGUCCCAUAUAAACAGUUUUCCUAGUUCUUAUACUCAGUUUUCAAGGAUGGCUAUUAGUUUGAGUUUCAAAAUUUGCUGCAUAAUCAGAUUUUUCAGUGUCUGCAUCUUCUGGCUGUGGUUCGCAUUGUGAAGCUAACACAACUUCAUCACUAGGAUCAGUUGCUUGCUUCCUUUCAUGUGAUGAUUCUUGAUUUCCUACAGCCUUAACUUCAGUUCCAAUAUGAGUACUUUGUUGUAGUUCCUUGAUAUUUGUAAAACUUUGCUUUUCCAUCAUAAAGUCCGUCGAUUUACUGAUUGAUUCUUGAGGCAAAACUUGAUUGUCUUCAGUAACCAGAACUUGAUUGGGAUCAGGAUUUGGUUCCUCUUGUGCAGAUUCAACAGCUUGAGGCAUGUCAUCAACAAAAUGUAGUUCAAAAGAUGAACUUUUCACUUCAUUGUAAAUUGGAUCACUUAGUUGGACUUUACUUUCUGCUGCUAGUGAU